RNAcentral lists this ribosomal RNA (440 nucleotides) under uncultured bacterium. RNAcentral describes it as "bacterial SSU rRNA". It matches the Rfam family "Bacterial small subunit ribosomal RNA", at positions 474 to 917 of the family's 1533-position model. The record is from RNAcentral.
CGGACCCGAUGAAUACGCCACGGCUAACUACAUGCCAGCAGCCGCGGUAAUACGUAGGUGGCGGGCGUUGUCCGGAUUUAUUGGGUUUAAAGGGUGCGUAGGUGGUUUUAUAAGUCAAUGGUGAAAGCUGGUUGCUCAACAAUCAAGUUGCCAUUGAUACUGUUAGACUUGAGAGAAGUGGAGGUUCAUGGAAUGGAUGGUGUAGCGGUGAAAUGCAUAGAUAUCAUCCAGAACGUCGAUUGCGAAGGCAGUGGGCUGUACUUUUUCUGACACUGAGGCACGAAAGCGUGGGGAUCAAACAGGAUUAGAUACCCUGGUAGUCCACGCUGUAAACGAUGCGAACUAGCUUUCGGGUUUAAGAUUCGGGGGCUAAGGGAAACCGAUAAGAUCGCCACCUGGGGAGUACGCCGGCAACGGUGAAACUCAAAGGAAUUGACGGA